UACGUAGGGGGCAAGCGUUGUCCGGAUUUAUUGGGCGUAAAGAGCGUGUAGGCGGUCAGGUAGGUCGGUUGUGAAAACUGGAGGCUCAACCUUCAGAGGUCGACCGAAACCCCCUGGCUAGAGUCCGGGAGAGGAGAGUGGAAUUCCUGGUGUAGCGGUGAAAUGCGCAGAUAUCAGGAAGAACACCAGUGGCGAAGGCGACUACCUGGCCUGUUCUUGACGCUGAGGCGCGAAAGCUAGGGGAGCAAACGGG
This 253-nucleotide ribosomal RNA is filed under the name uncultured bacterium. Its description in RNAcentral is "partial 16S ribosomal RNA". It matches the Rfam family "Bacterial small subunit ribosomal RNA", at positions 524 to 776 of the family's 1533-position model. The record is from RNAcentral.